AGCGAGUGAAUAAAUACAAUGUACGCCAUUUACAUUUCAUAUUUAAAAUGAAAGAAAAAAUAAUAAAAAUAAAAUAAAUUUUAUUUUAUUAGAAUAUAAACGUGGAAAAAUAGGGUAAUGUUAAUCUUAAUGUCAUUAUUUUACAUCUUAUUCGUUCAGUAGUUGUACGUGUCCACACUCCUUUUUAAUAGUCCAUCAGAGGCAGUGUGGAGAUGAUUAUGUGUGAACAUUUCAGGGCAACGGUGAAGAAAGCCCCUGCAGAGCAGCGCUGUAAUGUUUUAAUAAGGCAGUGUAGUGCAGCGGCGGCGCGCGUGCAGAUAAAGAGGAGCUCCGAGCUUCGCUUCGCUCUUAACGCUGGAAAAGAAAAGACGGAAAGACAAAUGAUGAUCUCCACUUCGUCUCCUCCAUAUGAACACGCACUUGUUGGAGCGACGAGCUGGAUUUUCCCUUCAACUCCCGAUUCUGCUGGGAGGAAUAAAGAUGAUAAGAGAUAUGAUUUCGUCGGGAUUUUUAUAAUCGAUUACAGUGAUAGAUAUGUCUCUCAUAUGAGCCGCUGGCGCUGAAUGACGAGCUCGCAGAAAGCUUGCCGAGUCCGUGCCAAAAGCUCCAUAUGGGGACAUUCACAGGGGGGAGCGGAGUAGAGCAGAACAGAGUAGAGAAGAACGGGCCAGGAGGAACCAGCACGACAUGCUGUUACACACAUCUACACCAACGCACGUGGGUGCCACCGAGUCCUGCUCAAUAGUGUGUUUUGUGGCAAACGAAGAACAAUGCAGCGCACGCGUGCACACACUGAGGGGUGGGAGGUGUGGAGUGGAGAGAUGUGAUUCACUGGCUGGAAAGAUCUAAGACUGGAACAUCUUACCUUUUUACCUGCUUGUCAGAGUAACCAGUAGAGUGGAUUGUCUUUCAGUGCAGUGGCCAAACAAUAACAUAGGCCUACAUUAUCUGCUUUUCUUAACGCAUUACAAUCAUAAUAAUAUUUGAAACGUUAGCUGUGUAUGUAUGUGCAUUCUAUGUGCUCUCU
RNAcentral lists this long non-coding RNA (1027 nucleotides) under Astyanax mexicanus (Mexican tetra). RNAcentral describes it as "lncRNA (ENSAMXG00005019501.1)". Lineage: Eukaryota; Metazoa; Chordata; Actinopteri; Characiformes; Acestrorhamphidae. The record is from RNAcentral.